This 249-nucleotide long non-coding RNA is filed under the name Rosa chinensis. Its description in RNAcentral is "sRNA RchiOBHm_Chr7g0226721". The record is from RNAcentral. Lineage: Eukaryota; Viridiplantae; Streptophyta; Magnoliopsida; Rosales; Rosaceae.
UAGCAAUAGCAGGGAAGAGGAAUGAGAUCAAGAUCAGUAUGACCAGCUUUGCUUUGUCCUUGUUAAUCUGCUUUCUUCUUUGAUCAAUAUAUAUGUACAUAGUUAUCAAGUCUUAAAAUUUCUUGUUCAUUAACUCUCUACUCUACUCCAUUUUCUCAGUCUUGCAGUUUAUGUUCAACAGUAAUUCAGUGAACAACUUUCAUUUUUCCGGUAUGGUUUUUGUAAUUUUAAUACUUUCUCUAUUUCCCC